UGAUCAACCUGCCUUGGCCUCCCAAAGUGCUAGGAUUACAGGCAUGAGCCACAACGUCCGGCACCCACAACUCUUUAAGCUGUUUAGACUUGAAGGUUGCUUGUUACUGCAGCAUAACCCAGACUAACCUGACUGAUGCAGUCAAACCUUGAUUAAUGAGAAGAUGGAAGGGACACUGUAGAACAGGAGAAGGCUGACAGCAGGUUCCAGGAUAUCCUAAAGCUAAAAUAACUCAUCAGAUUUGGACAGAGUAGAAGGCAAAGGACUAUAAGUUCCACGUUCAUUAUUAGCAGUAAAACUAAGUCUUUGUAACUGAGUUAUAAGAUUUUUUCACCUGAAAGAGAUCAUCCAAGGUCAAACAGCAAGCAUGUCAGAAUGGAAAGGAAAGGUAAAAACAAAUGUAUAUUAUUAUCUGCUUUAAACUUAGAGCAAUAGUUUCUUAAA
Molecule: long non-coding RNA, 444 nt
Filed under: Homo sapiens (human)
Lineage: Eukaryota; Metazoa; Chordata; Mammalia; Primates; Hominidae
Description: HSALNT0393615
Source: RNAcentral